This 416-nucleotide ribosomal RNA is filed under the name uncultured bacterium. RNAcentral describes it as "bacterial SSU rRNA". It matches the Rfam family "Bacterial small subunit ribosomal RNA", at positions 1001 to 1414 of the family's 1533-position model. The record is from RNAcentral.
CCGAAAGGCAGGAGUGCCCGCAAGGGAGCGCGGAGACAGGUGGUGCAUGGCUGUCGUCAGCUCGUGUCGUGAGAUGUUGGGUUAAGUCCCGCAACGAGCGCAACCCUCACCUCUUGUUGCCAUCAGGUCAUGCUGGGCACUCUAGAGGAACUGCCCCGGUCAACGGGGAGGAAGGCGGGGAUGACGUCAAGUCAUCAUGCCCCUUACGUCCUGGGCUACACACGUGCUACAAUGGCCGGUACAAAGGGAUGCCACACCGCGAGGUAGAGCUAAACCCAAAAAGCCGGUCUAAGUUCGGAUUGGAGUCCGCAACUCGACUCCAUGAAGGAGGAAUCGCUAGUAAUCGCGUAUCAGCACGACGCGGUGAAUACGUUCCCGGGCCUUGUACACACCGCCCGUCACACCACGAAAGCCAG